GCCCCGGUAGCCCAGCGGUAGAGGCAAUGGAUUCAAAACCCAUUCAGCGUCGGUUCGAAUCCGACUCGGGGUA
RNAcentral lists this transfer RNA (73 nucleotides) under Streptomyces sp. AP-93. Its description in RNAcentral is "tRNA-Leu". It matches the Rfam family "tRNA". From Rfam's summary of the family: Transfer RNA (tRNA) molecules are approximately 80 nucleotides in length. The record is from RNAcentral. Lineage: Bacteria; Bacillati; Actinomycetota; Actinomycetes; Kitasatosporales; Streptomycetaceae. RNAcentral also lists the same sequence under 8 other names.